GACGAACGCUGGCGGCGUGCCUAAUACAUGCAAGUAGAACGCACAGUUUAUACCGUAGCUUGCUACACCAUAAACUGUGAGUUGCGAACGGGUGAGUAACGCGUAGGUAACCUGCCUGGUAGCGGGGGAUAACUAUUGGAAACGAUAGCUAAUACCGCAUAAUAUUGAUUAUUGCAUGAUAAUUGAUUGAAAGAUGCUAUUGCAUCACUACCAGAUGGACCUGCGUUGUAUUAGCUAGUAGGUGAGGUAACGGCUCACCUAGGCGACGAUACAUAGCCGACCUUAGAGGGUGAUCGGCCACACUGGGACUGAGACACGGCCCAGACUCCUACGGGAGGCAGCAGUAGGGAAUCUUCGGCAAUGGACGAAAGUCUGACCGAGCAACGCCGCGUGAGUGAAGAAGGUUUUCGGAUCGUAAAGCUCUGUUGUAAGAGAAGAACGGGUGUGAGAGUGGAAAGUUCACACUGUGACGGUAUCUUACCAGAAAGGGACGGCUAACUACGUG
Molecule: ribosomal RNA, 505 nt
Filed under: uncultured bacterium
Lineage: Bacteria
Description: partial 16S ribosomal RNA
Rfam family: Bacterial small subunit ribosomal RNA
Source: RNAcentral